UACGAAGGGGGCGAGCGUUGUUCGGAUUUACUGGGCGUAAAGGGCGCGUAGGCGGUGUGUCAAGUCAGGCGUGAAAGCCCCGGGCUCAACCUGGGAACCGCGCUUGAGACUGGCACGCUCGAGUUCGGGAGAGGAUGGUGGAAUUCCCAGUGUAGAGGUGAAAUUCGUAGAUAUUGGGAAGAACACCGAUGGCGAAGGCAGCCAUCUGGACCGACACUGACGCUGAGGCGCGAAAGCGUGGGGAGCAAACAGG
RNAcentral lists this ribosomal RNA (253 nucleotides) under uncultured bacterium. RNAcentral's name for it is "partial 16S ribosomal RNA". It matches the Rfam family "Bacterial small subunit ribosomal RNA", at positions 524 to 776 of the family's 1533-position model. The record is from RNAcentral.